AUCCUUUUGUGGUUCAUAAGCAUGAUGAUUGGGUGUUCACACCCACGUGUGAGAUGUGCCUCCCUCAAACCUUGUUACAACUUCAACCAUUACCCAUCUGACA
Molecule: small nucleolar RNA, 103 nt
Organism: Nomascus leucogenys (northern white-cheeked gibbon)
Lineage: Eukaryota; Metazoa; Chordata; Mammalia; Primates; Hylobatidae
Source: Ensembl